This is a non-coding RNA of Onthophagus taurus, 263 nucleotides long. The record is from RefSeq and is a predicted model, not a curated record. NCBI's taxonomy places the organism in Eukaryota, Metazoa, Arthropoda, Insecta, Coleoptera, Scarabaeidae.
GUAGUUGACAGUUCUAAAUGUUUUUAUUUUUAAUUAAAAAUCAUCAAAAAAGGACGUUAAGGAAUGCAAAUUUGUACUAAAUCUCUUCCACGGGUGUUAAAUGAAGUAAAACGAAGCUUUUUGAUGUUUGGAGAAUUGAUGGGAACGAUCAAAAUGAAACUAUAAACAAUCCAAGAAACAAGAGCGAUGUCAUAUAUGGUUACGCCAUCUAGUAGUAAGAAACAGAAGAAUGAUGACAGCGUUGCACUUAAUCUACCGAUUUU